This 117-nucleotide ribosomal RNA is filed under the name Brugia malayi. The record is from RNAcentral. Lineage: Eukaryota; Metazoa; Nematoda; Chromadorea; Rhabditida; Onchocercidae.
AUUUGUGACAAUGCCACGUUGAAAGCACGACAUCUCGUCGAGUCUGUCAAGUUAAGCAACGUUGGCCUGGUUAGUACUUGGAUCGGAGACGGCCUGGGAAUCCAGGUGUUGUAGACA